AUCUGCCAUCAGGUCUGGGACAACCACUGGAAACGGUGGCUAAUACCGGAUGUGCCCUUCGGGGUGAAAGGUUAACUGCCUGUUGAUGAGCUCGCGUCUGAUUAGCUAGUUGGUGUGGUAAGAGCGCACCAAGGCGACGAUCAGUAGCUGGUCUGAGAGGACGAUCAGCCACACUGGGACUGAGACACGGCCCAGACUCCUACGGGAGGCAGCAGUGGGGAAUUUUCCGCAAUGGGCGAAAGCCUGACGGAGCAAUACCGCGUGAGGGAGGAAGGCUCUUGGGUCGUAAACCUCUUUUCUCAGGGAAGAACACAAUGACGGUACCUGAGGAAUAAGCAUCGGCUAACUCCGUGCCAGCAGCCGCGGUAAUACGGAGGAUGCAAGCGUUAUCCGGAAUGAUUGGGCGUAAAGCGUCCGCAGGUGGCUAUGUAAGUCUGCUGUUAAAGAGUCUAGCUCAACUAGAUAAGAGCAGUGGAAACUACAAGGCUAGAGUGCGUUCGGGGCAGAGGGAAUUCCUGGUGUAGCGGUGAAAUGCGUAGAGAUCAGGAAGAACACCGGUGGCGAAGGCGCUCUGCUAGGCCGCAACUGACACUGAGGGACGAAAGCUAGGGGAGCGA
This 617-nucleotide ribosomal RNA is filed under the name Nostoc sp. 'Lobaria scrobiculata cyanobiont'. RNAcentral's name for it is "bacterial SSU rRNA". It matches the Rfam family "Bacterial small subunit ribosomal RNA", at positions 124 to 771 of the family's 1533-position model. Lineage: Bacteria; Bacillati; Cyanobacteriota; Cyanophyceae; Nostocales; Nostocaceae. The record is from RNAcentral.